Non-coding RNA from Podarcis lilfordi (Lilford's wall lizard), 5733 nucleotides. The record is from the annotation of a GenBank genome assembly. NCBI's taxonomy places the organism in Eukaryota, Metazoa, Chordata, Lepidosauria, Squamata, Lacertidae.
GGAUUUCAGUAGGAAGUUACAGAAUAUGCACUGGCUGAAAAUGAAGCAGUGUGACCACUCCAAAACUAUCGCAGCUACAAACAGUAUUUUUAAAUUUUAAUUUUUUACUAUUACAUUUAUGUCACACCUUUCCUUCAAGGAGCUCAAGGUGGCAUAAACUCCCCAAUAUUAUUCUCACAGCAACCCUGUGAAGUAGGUUAGGCUGAGAGGAGCUGACUAGCCCAAGGUCACCUGUGAGCUACCCCAAUAGCGUCAAGAGCACAAAUUCUAAUGAAUGUGUAAUAAAAGGGUGUCUGAAGGGGCUCUUAGCAGACAACAUUUAAAAAAUUGACAAUGGGACUCUAUAUCCCAAGUCAGUUAAUAAGGGUUAUAAAUGCACUCCAGAUAUUCCUGGACUACAACUUACAUCAUCAUUGACUAUUGGCUGAGGCUUAUGGGAGCUGUAGUUCAGUAAUAUCUGGCAAGCAGCAUGUUGGCUAUCCCUGUUGCAGAUUAGGCCUUAAAUUUGGGAGUCCUGGGCCAGUUUCAAAUCCUUGCUCAGCAAUGAACCUCACUAACUAGAUCCGGGCAAAACCCCUCUCUUCUGGACAAACCUACUAUGUAUGGUUGACGAGGGAUAAAGAAUUGAAAAAAAUACACGACAAAAGUCAUAGCAUUAACAGCAGGCUCAUGUUCCAGAGUCUUAUCUCAAAACUGGUUAAUGUUCUCAUGCUUACAGAGUUGCUGUAUAGUUUCUGCAGAAUAAUUAUUUCUCUGUCCCUCACCCCCUCACACAUAUACUGUACACAAAGGUGCAAUUCUGUACUUAUUAAAAACUGGUCAUUCCAAAGCAAGCAAACUUUAAUUAAAUAUUCACAUGGAAAUUACUAUGCAGUAAUUAGAUAUUGUGCAACCAUGACCUAGCUCUGCUGUACUUACUGGGGCAGCUUCAGACCACAAGCUAGGUUCUGUAUUCCCAUAUAUGUUCUCUAGGUGACAACUAGACUGCCACUUUUACAAUCCAUACAAAAGAUUUGAAACAGAAAGAGGCAAGUUGUGCAAAGCUCCUCACAUGUUUCAGGCUUAAGAAGUUGACAGCUGUCUGCUUUCAUAAAGCUAAACUUUGUGCCCCAGACAUUUUCAUGAACAAUCUUCUUAGGGUCUGCAUUACAAAUAUCUGUAAGUGCUAAGAAUUUUUGGCUUGCAGCUAUAGAAGUAGCAGGAUUGCACCAAGUUUGGCUGUAUAGAAACAGACUGCAAAUACAACAAAAUACUUCUCUAUAUUGGGUCAGCUUAACCAUAAUGGAAGGGUGGGUAAAUUCCAUGUUAGGACCAGGAGAUGAGUCUGGGCUUGCACUGCUUCUGACAACAUUACAUGCCCACAAACACAUCCUUUGCAACAUCACACGAUGAUCAGGGGAAUGCACAAUAUAUAAACAGGAAACUGACAAUACUAAACUUGUUACUUGACUAUUUCACAGGAUUAACUAAUAGUACAAACUGAAUUCCAGUUGUACUACACAAUGGGUCUGCCUGGAGAUGUUCGACCCAUGCAUAAAAUCCACACACUUAUUGAAAUCAGCACUAAGAAAUGAAAAUGGCAUGAAUUGGUGUUCAGGAGAUUUGACAAUGGGAGGUAUGAGGAUGACCUAAAUUUCUAGUGUUUUGGUCUCAGCACCAGUUGUGUGGUUUAUUACUUAGAAGUAAUGAGAUUCAGGCAAGUUUUUAAUUGAAUUUGUUUAUUGAAUCCACACUAUAAAGUAUAUUAAAAAGUAUCCCCAAAUGCUACUUGGCAAAAUUGUUCUAAGAACUCCAGAGGCUAGCUGAGCUGCUAUUGGUAUCUAUAUCAAAUUCACCCUCUGUGAAAAUGGCUGACAUUUGUUUUUGUAAACAACUAAAUCCAGUGACUACAUGUAUGUUGACGUGAACCUGACCCAGGGGAGCUAGCAAACAGAGUAAGAAUGGCAUUCUCAGGUGAUAGUUACGUUGGAAUGAACUGCAGAAAGCUCUAAAGAAGGGAAGAGGUACACUGGGAUGCAAAUAUUUGAUGGGUUCAAGACACAGUGGGGAAAUAUUGAAAAGGGCAUCUAGCUCUGAAAAAAAUAUGAAAGAACAUGAGGAAAAUAACUAGAAAAACUAACAUAGAUGAGAAAACAAUAGAUACAGAGUGCUAUAAGGGAGAAAAGGUUGUGGGAGAUUGUAGAUAGAACAACGAAUACACUUUGCAGUGAAUGAGUCAUGAAUUUCCCUCUCAAGUCUGUAUGGGGCGAUGUUAAAACAUUUACAAGGUCCUUAAAGCAGCAAAUAUAUGAUGUAUUCAUUUGAAUAAAUAUGAUACUUGUCUGGUUUAGAGUUUUUUGCUUUUAGCACUCAGGAGAGCAGCCUGACUGUUGGAAGACCAGGAGUACAGGGCACAGCUUAGCUCACUUGCAUCUUCUCAGAGCAGAGCCACACUCUGCAGAGCCACACUCUGUGUAAACUGCCCAUUGCUAUGAACGUCUUCCUAGGUUUGCUUUUUGCUUUUCUUUUGGCAUGAAUGCUAGUGUGGGAAAUGCAGAAUGCAACAAGUGAAGCAAGUUGUUGUUGAAUAUUGAAAGACUUUAGUAGAGGUGGUAAAUCCUCUGGCAUCUAGCUGUUUCUUAGGUGUCCUACUGCAUUAAUCUCAAUCCCAUGGGGCUUCUACAGACCGUAGCAGCAGUUUUUAUGGUUCUGUGAGAAGUAAUUUUGCAGCAUUGAUUCCCCCCGUCAAUAAAACAUAGUGUCAUGCCUUGAAAAAUACACUGCUACAGCUUCAUUACUUUUAGCAGCUUGCUCUUCAGCAAGUCAUGUGAUGCUGCCCUUCACUCAGAGGUCCUAAGACAGGGCACAGAAGCAAAACCACAAUGAAUUCAAUAUAAAAUCUGAACAAAACAAAUAAUACAUUAAAUCAGCACCAUCUAUAAAAGCACAUAUAAUGUACCUCAUCAAAAGCCUGAACAAAGAGGUACAUCUUAGCCUGUUGAUGAAAGGGCUGUAAGGCUGGAGUUCUUAACAAAGUAAUGCGGACAGAGAACAGAAAUGCAAGGCCUGAAGAAAGGAACAAAGAGGUUUUGUCUUUCUUCAGGCCCUGUACAUAGCAGUGAGACAUUCAAGUAAAUAAACAGAGGAAAGCCUCCCUCAAAUCCACACAGCCAACCAGGGCACAUGCUACCUCAGCAAAGAUCUUGCCACUCUACUUGGUUGCUAAACAACACCUCUGCCCUUGUGGUUAGUUGACUAACACUAACAGAACAAACCCUUAAAUUGCACACAGAAUGGUCUCUUCUGUUGCAGUUCCAACAGGAACAUAACACACCGGGGGGCGGGGUGUCAUUCCAUACAUACAUGGGAAUUUGUUCAAAUGGCAACUUAGAUGAUACGUAGGGGAAAGGGUGCUUUGGAUAAUGGGAAAAACUAUGCAUAAAAGGGGGCACUUUUCACACUAUACAUUACACUAUAGGUAAAAGGUCAAGGACGCCUGGAUGGUUAAGUCCUGUCAAAGGCAACUAUGGGGUGUGGUGCUCAUCUCGCUUCAGGCCGAGGGAACUGGCAUUUGUCCGCAGACAGCUUUCCAGGUCAUGUGGCCAGUUUGACUAAACUGCUUCUGGCACACGGAAAUGCAAUUUACCUUCCCGCCACAGCAGUACCUAUUUAUCUAAUUGCAUUGGUGUGCUUUCGAACUACUAGGUUGACAGAAGCUGGCACAGAGCAACUGGAGCUCACUCCGUCAUGCAGAUUCGAACCGCCGACCUUCCGAUUGGCAAGCCCAGGAGGCUCGGUGGUUUAGACCAGAGCACCACCUGCGUCCCACAUCACACUAUAUUAUGCAUAUGGGACACUAUCCUACUGUAGUCAGGAAAGGCAGAAUAUAAAUCUGUACUCACUCUGGAAAGGAAACUGGAGAAAUGAAAUAACUUUUUGAUUUAUUUAUUACAGUCUCAAAUUAAUGUGUCUCAAGUGUGAGGUCUUUGAAGUUUUGGAUGGGAAAAGACCUUGCCCAAAGAGGUAAUGUUCCUAAGGCUUCUUGGUGUUCAUUAACUUUGUUUGGAGCACGGUGAUGAAGUUGAGUGGGUGCAUGUCAUAUAGUACCAAUAUUAGAACAGUCAGCACACUUUCAGUAGCAUAUGACUCAUCCCAUCAUUGAAACAGCUUCGAAUGAAGUUUGCUGCUGUAGUAGGCAGAAGCUUAACCAUUCUAUUUAGUGUGUCAGCUAUCUUCCAUGAAAAAGAAAACAACAGCAGCAAAUUGUCAUUUCCAUCUGUUUUGUCUUUUCCUACUGAAGAAGAUAUUCUCUUCUCUAAAAGUCCUCAGAUAAUGUUCAUAAAGCAUUUUGAUCAUUGGAAAUGUGAUACGGAUGGGAUAUGAGGAUGAUUCUCUUUUGACACUAUAUGCUCUGUAGCAGAUUGUGAAAACUAUUUUGAAGAUCUACCCCUCUGGAUACCUUAAAAGUGUCUGUUUUCCUUGGGUUCUUGGCUCAGUCUCUUUGGGGCCACUCCAAAGCCCUCUAGCCUAGUUCUUUUUUGUAUAUCUGCAGCAAGACUCGUGUAGAGUGAUGUAGGAGAGAAGUUAUGAGAGGAAACUGGAUUCAUUAUUUGUGAAAUGUUGGAGUAGCAGUAGGAAAUUCUGUAGUAGUAGGAACUGUGAAUUUCUCAAGACAAAUGGGCAUAAAGUUUAGUAGCCUUGUUUUAAUGUUGCUCCAGCAGAAGAUGGGACAUCUACAUUUCAGGUCAAGACAUCACUCAGGAGAAUUUCAUUUGUGGUCUAGGAAUUAAACAGCUUUGAUCAGAGCACAGAGUUGCUGUAGAAGUGAUUCAAUAUGUCUCAAAAGUCACUGGCUGGACUGAAAUGUAACAGUAUGUAUGGAAGCUGCAUGUCACAGCUCUUGAACAAUCUUCAAAGUUAAUACGUAUAGUGAGGAACAGAACAGGACAGAAGAAUAUAAAGACUCAGACACAAGGAUUGAUGAUAGAAAUUUGUGGCUCCUUCGGUAUAGUGUUUGAAAGAUUUAUGUAUUGUAUGGGUCCUCUCCGUCCCGCACCAUUCAAACGUAUUUCAACUUGAUCUUCUUUAGAAACUGGGUGAAUGGGUUAGAUAAUAGUAGUGGGAUUUAAAAGCAACAACAAUCCAGAGCAGUUGGUCUUCCCUAAACAUAUCCACUCCUAACCAUACACAUCAGAUUGAUAGGUCAUUAGCUGGUAAGUGGUGUCUUACCAAGCUGAAUUGCAGAUGUAUAUUAGAAACAAUCAAAGUCACAAAACAGAUUGGAAAUCAGCAUCUGUUUUUCUCCAAAAGCUACGCAUUGUAGACUAUUCCAAAUCCAUGCUGUUUCUUUAUUUCCCAAGGAUUUCAGUGCAUAUAAACUAGUUUAAAUCCUCCAAACAGGGCUUGAAUGUGCAGGAAGUUGGAUACAACUACUUCUGGUUGUGCCUAGUUAGUACCUAAACCAGGGCUGGGAGCCUCAAGAUGUACUUAAUGGUUUACAGCCCCCAUCAUCUCUGACCAUUAGUCACACUAAUUGGCUGUAGCCAAUGGGAAUUGUGGUCCUGCAACAUCUAGAGGGCUUCUAUUCUUUACAAAUGUGCUAUUAAUAUGGAGAAGAAUGGCAGAAAACCAGAGAAUGUAGGAAUCCAAUGUGUCUGAACAGCACUAUUUGUUGGUUGGUUUGUUUGACAAAUUUAUAUAUUACCUUUAUUUAUGGUUCAGGGGAGCUAACGCCCAUAAAUACAGAAAGCAACC